This 839-nucleotide long non-coding RNA is filed under the name Triticum aestivum (bread wheat). RNAcentral's name for it is "long non-coding RNA (TAES_LNC020104)". The record is from RNAcentral. Lineage: Eukaryota; Viridiplantae; Streptophyta; Magnoliopsida; Poales; Poaceae.
CAGUAAUUAUAUGUUGAUCGCAUAAGCAGGCUGAUGGUGUCUUGGUCGAAUUUUUUUAUUCCUUCUCUAUGGAACUAAAACUGUUCUUUCCUGAAUAUAUUGGAUCGCAAAGAACUAAACCUAUGUACAAUGUCUUUGGGCAUAUUCUGAAUUUGCAGAAUUAGCACAAAUCUGAAAGCAUAUAUGCAGCUCCCAGAUGUUGCAGGCUAGAGGAAGGGCAGGCACUCAUGCAAUACCAUGUAUCUGGUAGUGGUUUCGUUCCCCAGACGCUAUGCAUUUAUUGUCUGGUUUGUUCAUCUCUGUUAGCUCUAUGUUAACCUUCUUUUAGUUACUUCCCAUGAUUUUCUUUGUAAGAAACCCCAGAAAUAUAUAUAGGCGUAUUUUCCCGUGAAGAUGCUAAAUUUUGUUGGUCUUAUUUAUGGGAUAGCGAAACCAUUUUUGUGUGCACUUAAUUUUCAGGUUGGACGCGCCGGGUGUGGGGACACUGCAGGACAUGUUUGAUUAUCAUGUCAGUGAAUUCUGGCGAGAAUGAACCAAGUGAGCUUUUGUAGCUGGUCUAUUCAAAAUGGAUGAACGGACCAGUUAGUGUACAUAUAAGUUUGCACUCUGUCUUCCUGCUCAUUCGUGCAAUGUGUUCAUGGGAGACUUAUUUUAGGAAAACAUAAAAUAAUCUUUCUUUCUGUGCGUACUACUCUAGCUUUCAAGUGCCAGGCUUCAAUAAAUCUGAAAUUUCUAUCGCUCGAUUUGCAGUGUUUAUUUUACGGUUACCACUGGGAAAUGCUUCCUUUUAAUCAUUUUUAUCUGGUACACACCAUUGUAAGUGUAUUAUUUAAGAAAUC